Molecule: ribosomal RNA, 253 nt
Filed under: uncultured bacterium
Lineage: Bacteria
Description: partial 16S ribosomal RNA
Rfam family: Bacterial small subunit ribosomal RNA
Source: RNAcentral
UACGGGGGGGGCAAGCGUUGUUCGGAAUUACUGGGCGUAAAGGGUUCGUAGGUGGCCAACUAAGUCAUACGUGAAAUCCCUCAGCUUAACUGGGGAACUGCGUCUGAUACUGGUUGGCUUGAGUGCAGGAGAGGAACGCGGAAUUCCAGGUGGAGCGGUGAAAUGCGUUGAUAUUCACAGGAACUCCGGUGGCGAAGGCGGCUCGCUGGAUCUUUUCUGACGCUGAGGCGCGAAAGCUAGGGGAGCAAACGGG